This 253-nucleotide ribosomal RNA is filed under the name uncultured bacterium. RNAcentral describes it as "partial 16S ribosomal RNA". It matches the Rfam family "Bacterial small subunit ribosomal RNA", at positions 524 to 776 of the family's 1533-position model. The record is from RNAcentral.
GACGAGCAUCACAAACGUUAUUCGGAAUUAUUGGGCGUAAAGAGCUCGUAGGCGGUCUGUCGCGUCGGCUGUGAAAACUCGGGGCUCAACCCCGAGCCUGCAGUCGAUACGGGCAGACUAGAGUGCUGUAGGGGAGACUGGAAUUCCUGGUGUAGCGGUGAAAUGCGCAGAUAUCAGGAGGAACACCGGUGGCGAAGGCGGGUCUCUGGGCAGUAACUGACGCUGAGGAGCGAAAGCGUGGGGAGCGAACAGG